UCCAGACUCCUACGGGAGGCAGCAGUGGGGAAUAUUGGGCAAUGGGCGCAAGCCUGACCCAGCAACGCCGCGUGAAGGAAGAAGGCUUUCGGGUUGUAAACUUCUUUUAAGAGGGAAGAGUAGAAGACGGUACCUCUUGAAUAAGCCACGGCUAACUACGUGCCAGCAGCCGCGGUAAUACGUAGGGGGCAAGCGUUAUCCGGAUUUACUGGGUGUAAAGGGAGCGUAGACGGCAGUGCAAGUCCGGAGUGAAAGCCCGGGGCUCAACCCUGGGACUGCUCUGGAAACUGUAAAGCUGGAGUGCGGGAGGGGCAGGCGGAAUUCCUGGUGUAGCGGUGAAAUGCGUAGAUAUUAGGAGGAAUACCAGUGGCGAAGGCGGCCUGCUGGACGACAACUGACGGUGAGGCGCGAAAGCGUGGGGAGCAAACAGGAUUAGAUACCCGUGUAGC
RNAcentral lists this ribosomal RNA (449 nucleotides) under uncultured bacterium. RNAcentral's name for it is "bacterial SSU rRNA". It matches the Rfam family "Bacterial small subunit ribosomal RNA", at positions 330 to 794 of the family's 1533-position model. The record is from RNAcentral.